This 397-nucleotide ribosomal RNA is filed under the name uncultured bacterium. RNAcentral describes it as "partial 16S ribosomal RNA". It matches the Rfam family "Bacterial small subunit ribosomal RNA", at positions 523 to 918 of the family's 1533-position model. The record is from RNAcentral.
AUACGUAGGGGGCGAGCGUUGUCCGGAAUGAUUGGGCGUAAAGGGCGCGUAGGCGGCCCGGUAAGUCUGGAGUGAAAGUCCUGUUUUUAAGAUGGGAAUUGCUUUGGAUACUGUCGGGCUUGAGUGCAGGAGAGGUAAGUGGAAUUCCCAGUGUAGCGGUGAAAUGCGUAGAGAUUGGGAGGAACACCAGUGGCGAAGGCGACUUACUGGACUGUAACUGACGCUGAGGCGCGAAAGUGUGGGGAGCAAACAGGAUUAGAUACCCUGGUAGUCCACACUAUAAACGAUGAAUGCUAGGUGUAAGAGGUAUCGACCCCUUUUGUGCCGGAGUCAACACAAUAAGCAUUCCGCCUGGGGAGUACGGCCGCAAGGUUGAAACUCAAAUGAAUUGACGGGG